GAGUCCGUCACUCAGAGACAGAGCGAGAGCCGUGGAGUAGAUCUCGCGACCUGCCGCCCCCCGGCUGUGCUCGUCCUGGGGCUGGAGCAUCCUGCCGGCCGCCGGCGACCUCCUCGUCGGUGAGUACGUGCAGAAGCCCGGAGAGGCGCCUGCAGUUGCAGGGGCCAAAGGCUGGAUCUCGCAGAAUCGUGAGGUACUUGGGCAUGGGAUGGGAAUCACAAUUGUUGUGGAGGAAAUGAAGAAUAUCUUGUUAUUUGCCACCUACCAUCGAUGUUCUUUUAGAUUGAACAUUGCCAUGAGCUUUUCUCUACGCAAUGAAUAUAUUAGAUCAAGCAUCAUAUCAUGGACACCAUAAGACUUUUCUGCCUUUAUAGUGAUGUCUACAGAUUGGAUCCUGCUUCUGUUUAUGAGCUCAUUGAAGUAA
Long non-coding RNA from Triticum dicoccoides, 424 nucleotides. RefSeq lists it as uncharacterized. NCBI's taxonomy places the organism in Eukaryota, Viridiplantae, Streptophyta, Magnoliopsida, Poales, Poaceae. The record is from RefSeq and is a predicted model, not a curated record. The transcript is spliced from 2 exons.